Molecule: ribosomal RNA, 519 nt
Filed under: uncultured Cortinarius
Lineage: Eukaryota; Fungi; Basidiomycota; Agaricomycetes; Agaricales; Cortinariaceae
Description: eukaryotic LSU rRNA
Rfam family: 5.8S ribosomal RNA (bases 118-271)
Source: RNAcentral
ACGCCUUGUCAUCUUUAUAUCUCCACCUGUGCACCUUUUGUAGACCCUUCCAGGUCUAUGUUGCUUCAUUUACCCCCAAUGCAUGUUAAUAGAAUGUUGUGCCUGUAAAAUAAAUACAACUUUCAGCAACGGAUCUCUUGGCUCUCGCAUCGAUGAAGAACGCAGCGAAAUGCGAUAAGUAAUGUGAAUUGCAGAAUUCAGUGAAUCAUCGAAUCUUUGAACGCACCUUGCGCUCCUUGGUAUUCCGAGGAGCAUGCCUGUUUGAGUGUCAUUAAUAUCUAUAUCAACCUUCUCUUGUAGAGUGUGGUUUGGAUGUGGGGGUUUGCUGGCCUCUUUGAAGGUGUCAGCUCCCCUGAAAUGCAUUAGCGGAACAACCUCGUUCAUUGGUGUGAUAACUAUCUACGCUAUUGGAUGUGAGGGACAGUUCAGCCGUCUAACAGUCCUCGGACAAUUUAUCAUCAUUAAUGUGACCUCAAAUCAGGUAGGACUACCCGCUGAACUUAAGCAUAUCAAUAAGCG